This 460-nucleotide ribosomal RNA is filed under the name uncultured bacterium. RNAcentral describes it as "partial 16S ribosomal RNA". It matches the Rfam family "Bacterial small subunit ribosomal RNA", at positions 338 to 795 of the family's 1533-position model. The record is from RNAcentral.
CCUACGGGUGGCAGCAGUGAGGAAUAUUGGUCAAUGGGCGUAAGCCUGAACCAGCCAAGUCGCGUGAGGGAUGAAGGUUCUAUGGAUCGUAAACCUCUUUUAUAAGGGAAUGCAGUGCGGGACGUGUCCCGUAUUGUAUGUACCUUACGAAUAAGGAUCGGCUAACUCCGUGCCAGCAUCCGCGGUAAUACGGAGGAUUCGAGCGUUUUCCGGAUUUAUUGGGUUUAAAGGGUGGGUAGGCGGCCUUUUAAGUCAGCGGUGAAAGUCUGUGGCUCAACCACAGAAUUGCCGUUGAAACUGGGAGGCUUGAGUAUGUUAGAGGCAGGCGGAAUGCGUGGUGUAGCGGUGAAAUGCGUAGAUAUCAGGAAGAACACCGAUUGCGAAGGCAGACUGCCAGGCCAUGACUGACGCUGAUGCACGAAAGCGUGGGGAUCAAACAGGAUUAGAUACCCGAGUAGUC